This is a non-coding RNA of Meleagris gallopavo (turkey), 855 nucleotides long. The record is from RefSeq and is a predicted model, not a curated record. NCBI's taxonomy places the organism in Eukaryota, Metazoa, Chordata, Aves, Galliformes, Phasianidae.
AUGAAAAUCAGUAACAAAACUAGGGUGUUUUCAAGACGAAUGUGUGCUCUUCAAACAGAGUUCAUGAGGAGUCUAUUACAGUAGAACUAAAUGGCUUAUUGCUAUUACUUUCCAGGGAUCCUCAGGAAGCACUUAUUCUGGAAAGCAACAACCACCUUCCUCAGGGGGUAGUCAAGUGAGCUCUGCUGGGAAACACUCCAGUCCCCAACUCCUGCUGUUGUUUAGCAUUUUGAGUACCUUCGCACUCUCUGCUAUUACAUCAAAAUGGUCUAUGUGAACAUCAGAAGAUGUGCUCGGCAUCCUAGACGUGGAUUAUACGCAGUAAUAUUAGAUUAAUUACUUAUGUCAGGAAAAAAAAAACAACCAACAACACCAUAAAGUCAAAUUGAAAUCAAAUCAAAAGAUGUUACUUGGGCUACCAUGGUCCAUGUCUGGUUACUGUCAUGUCUUUCAUUAGUUUCUUUGGGUUUAGUCAUUAGAUAUCAUUACUUUUGUCAGUGUUCUAGGUGCCAUUUUAAGUGAGCGUACUGUACCCUGGCUAAAUGAUUUCAUUAAAUUAUUUUUAUGUCCAGGGGAAAAUGUGAUGAACACCUACCUGAAAACAGAUUGGUGUGAGAAACAAUUGCUUAGACAAUAUGUGGUUAGUAACCAACACAGAAUGUCAGACAGAUGGUUUCAUUUGCAAAACUUUAUUUGAGCACUGUCACUGCCCCUCACUGCAUACAAUAAAGAUGACCUCUAACUUCUUGUGAACAAUCCUCCAUGUCAUGGCAAAAAGGAUGCUAAAAUAAUAUCAUACUAUCGGCUUUUGUGGAAUGUAAACAAAUUCAUACCCAACAUGGAGGUUGCAAAGCA